Molecule: non-coding RNA, 10259 nt
Organism: Oryctolagus cuniculus (rabbit)
Lineage: Eukaryota; Metazoa; Chordata; Mammalia; Lagomorpha; Leporidae
Source: RefSeq, a predicted model, not a curated record
UGGCACUGUGGCGGACGCGGCGGGAUAAUUAGACCGUGGACGGGGAUAGGGGAAAGCUGCUGAAGAGGGAAGAUUCUGGUGCAAGGCGGGGAAAGAAAAACAAAAACCACACAUGAAACCACAAACCAAAAAGCUCCAACACAAUCCUUGCCUUAAAACCCGCCGCUUUCUAUACUGCAGGAUUCUGGAAGACCUUUCUGUUUAAUGGGUCAGUAACCCCAGCAACUCAGUUCUCCGAUACUGUGAAUUUCCUUCUAGGGAGCCUGUUUUAUCUGCUCUUUAGCUCCGGUCCUUCCUGUCGGCAUUUAGAGGCCAGAGUUGUUCUAACCUUGAAAUAACUCCUCCAGUCCUCCGAGCUCCAGCUAAUGUUCUCUUUCUCUUUACUUUCAUAGCUACAUGUCUUAUUUAUUUUUGAAAGGCAAAGGUACAGAGAGAAGGGGAGAGGGAGAGACAGGAAAUUUCCAUCCACGAGUUCACUCCUCAAAUGGCCAAAGGCUGGGGCGGGAGCCGGGAGCCAGGAGCCGGAAGCUUCUUCCAGGUCUAUCUACGAGGGUGCAGGGGCCCAAGGACUUGGGCCAUCUUCUGCUGCUUUCCCAGGCCAUAGCGGAGAGCUGGAUAGGAAGUGGAGCAGCCAGGACUGCGACAACACUGCAGGCAGAGGCUUAACUUUCUGUGCCACAGUGCUGACGUCAGGAGGAAGUCAGAACCAACCACGAAGAAAGGUCAUGGAGAGGACAUGCACUGGUGUUCCUGCUGGUCGCCCAGGUGAGGUCCUCGUCAAUGGUCAGCAACAACUGCCAGGUGUUUGAAUGAAGAUGCCCUUGGCUACUUGAAUUGAGGAGAUUCCUGGGAGUAACUUGGAAUGAGAAGAAAACUAGUUAAGGCUGUUGGUUGUUUCAAGUUCAUCACUUUCUUAUUGUUAAAACCAUCAAGAUCACAGAAGGUUUAGAUUUGAAUGGAAGUGCUCUAUCUCUGUCCUCUCAACCAGCUGUUUCAGAGAGCUGAUAAAGAAGUCACUUUUCCCCCAAAGGAAACAAAGAAUGAUCCCAAGAUAAGAGUGAUCUUAGGCUGCCUCAUCUUCCCUGAGGAGAAUGGUGACUGUGUUAGGAAGAUUGGGCCCCUUAUCUCAUUCUUGGGCUUGACCCUCACCUGAGCUCCCAUUGGGCCUUUUCCCCAGUAAUCUUGGCUUCAUUGCCUGUCAGAGUUUAUUUCAGCACCAGUUGUAUAGGAUUUAGGGGAACUUGUUUUUAGGGCUCCAGCUGCAGCCUUAGGAGAAUUUCCAGAGGAGAGGGUCUUGUGUGGUGAAUGGACUCCCAGAUGUCUCAUGCAGGACAGAUGAAUAACUGACAGAGGAGGGAGUGGAAGUAUUUAACCAGAACUCAGUAGAAUUAGUCUGGGUUGGGGUGGAGCAGGUGCAUGAAAAAAUAUCUUUAAGCACUGUCUGGACUACCAGGUGGCACAUGUGUUGUUUGUACAUGUGGUUUAAUGUAGGGUGUAAAAGAGAAGAAGUUGAAUUCUGUGGUCUCUGUCCAGAUGGCACCAGAGUAGCCAGCCAGGUGGUCGCUUGGACAUGGAGGCUGUGAUGCAUGCUGGUGGGGAAGUGUCGCUCCCCCUCUUCGUGGAGGAACGACACAGGACCCUGCGUUGUUCUUUUGUUUGCUCGGCCCUUCCCGGGUUGGCUACCGUCCCUUCCACCUCUGUGGAAGGGCGGUUCCCCCUGCCACUUUCCCCACUUCCGUGGGGGAGCGGCACACCGCCAGCCGGCUCUCUUGGGGGCUGCUCAGAUGUUCCUUCAGAUAGAUGUUCCCGGUGCAUGUUGUCUCUCUCCUCCUUUAUAGUCCUCUUCUGACAAUCCCAACUCUGCUAACCACACGCCGAGUACGCUGCUCUCCUCCAAUCAGGAGCAGGAUCAGCUCCUGCAGGUCAUCACUCAAGUUGGUGAGAGGCAGCUGCGUAGAAGUUGUUACUCCCUUCUCAGCGCCAUAUUGUGGGAGAGCAGAUGCAUAGAAUAAGUCUUAAUUCCAGUAACAGUCUAGUCCGAGUUGCUCCCCACAGGGAAGGACAUGGCUGGGUGAACUAUAAGGCCUCUUGAUGCCUUAGGAGUUACAUCUCCUGGUUGGAUAAGCAUUCGCCUAGCAGCUGAGAGACCAAGGCUCCCCUCUUGGCUCUGGGGGUAACUUGCUGAAAGACCUCAUGGAGUCACUUCCCAGCCUGAGCCUCGGUUUCUUCCUAUUCCAAAGAACGAAAUGGUUCUCUACCAGUGGACUUCAAAAUGUCUACUUUUUAAGAUUGGGGAAUUUUAUUUAUUUAGGUUUUUAUUAAUAUAAAGAAGACAGAUUUUAUGUAGUUCAUAGAUACAGUUCUAAGAAUAUAAUUAUCUUUCUUCCUUUAUUUUUUCUAUUCAUGAUAUAUUUUAAUUUGCUUUAUAAUCACAGGCUUAAUGCUCCACUAAAUAAAGAGUUAAAUAAGUCAAAAGUAGAAAGACCACUGCUCAGCAGGAAUAUAGGCAAGGCUAUAAACUACAAUCAAUUCCAAAGAUGUAAAUUUCACUUAUGCACAUUAAAUAUUUUUGUGCUGUAAUAUUAGCUACCACAAUCAAAGGCCACAAAUGAUAUUUAUCCUUUUGUAUCUGGCUUAUUUCACUAAGUAUAAUGGUCUCUAGUUGCAUUCAUUUUGUUGAGAAAGAUAGAAUUUCAUUACUUUUUACAGCUGAGUAGUAUUCCAUUAUGUAUAUGUACUACAUUUUCUUUAUCCAGUCAUCUGUUGAUGGACAUCUGGGUUGAUUCCAUAUCUUAGCUAUUCUGAGUUGAACUGCUAUAAACAUGGAAGUACAGGUAACUCUUUCAUAUGCUGAUUUCAUUUCCUUUGGGUAGAUUCUCAGGAGUGAGAUGGCUGGGUUAUGUGGUAGGUCUAUUUUUACACUUCUGAGGAAUCUGUAUAUUGUCUUCCAUCAUGGUUGUACCAGUUUACAUUUAAGACCAGGGAGUUUUAUAUUCUGCCUAUACCUUAAAAAGACAGAGAUGUUCUCGUUCAAUUCAAGUGAGUGACUCGGGGACCUAUGGCAGCUCACUUACUGUUCUCUCCCUUUCCAUUUCUGGGGCUCCAGAGAGCACAGCCAUUGAACAAGAGGCUAAAUAAAAAAUGACCUUGCAUUCCAGGGGCAACAAAAUCCACUUCUGGGAUUAUUGUGCUAAUUACAGUGUUAAGUGUACAGUUGUGUGUUUUACAAUUGAGAGAGAUGUUUACUGCUCUAGAAUUAGAAGAUCUUAAAUUUCAGUUGACAUCUAACCCAAGUGUAGGCCUUAUAGGACUCCCAGCACAUGGGACCUGCACCUGUGACUUUCAGAUCAAGUACAUCCCAGUGGGGCAGGGAUCAUGCCUUACUUCAUGCACUGCCAAGUCUCCAGUGUCCAGAACAGGGCCUGAUCUUUGCUAGUUGCUCAAUAUUUAUUUAAGUACCAAUGGUAGGAGCCUAACCUUCCUGUCAUCCUAUAGAGAGAAUCUUUAACUCCAAAGGGGGCAAUGGUCCAGUGGUUGGCAAGAGAGUCUUAUCCUGGGAGCCAAGCUGUGGAUUCCUUGAGAAGAAGUAAGUUACAAAGAGGUUGAGGCCACUGAGUGGCUGGGAAGUAAUUAGUCUCUAAUCCCAGGGCUGGGCUAGCAUGAGAGCUGGACUGAGCCCAUGUGGUGGGCAGUGUGUCUAGAGCUCUGGGGAAGGAUUGACUUCAGCCUCCUGAGUCUGAUUUUGGGUUUCUGAGCUCUAGAACUUUAGAAUAAUACACUUGUGUAUGGGUGUGUGUGUUUUUUUUUUAAUUUAUUUAUUUAGUUGAGAGGCAGAGUUAGAGACAGAGAGAGGGAGAGACUGAUCUUUCAUCUGCUGGUUCACUCUCUAAAUGGCCAGAGUUGAGCUGAUCCAAAACCAGGAGCCAGGAGCUUCUUCUGGGUCUCCCUUGUGGGUACAGGGGCCCAAGAACUUGGGCCAUCUUCCACUGCCUUCCCAGGCCAUCAGCAGGGAACUGGUUUGGAAAAGGAGCAGCUAGGACAUGAACUGGUGCCCAUAUGGGAUGCUGGUACUGAAGGCGGAGACUUAGCUUACUAUACCAUAGCUCUGUUCCCUCCUUGUGCUGUUUUAAGUCAAUUAGAUGCAGUAACAAGAGGAAAAUAAAACAUCUUCUCAUCUCUAUUAGCCUGCUCUCUGACCCAGGGCAUAUGGUGGCUAUGACCAGGAAGAGUUCUGAACCCAUAUUUAAUAACCCUUAGAAGGACUCAGUUUUCCUUUUUGUCUGUGCAUUCACCCUGGCAAAUACCUACAGACUUCUCUGUAGUCAGUGUGGAGAAAAUUUAUAGGAUAUACCUGUGCCCCUUGAAUGCCUGUGCCCUUAUUUCUGCCUCACUUGAGACAGUCUGGAUCUUUUAAUUGACUUAGAGAUAAGGACAUGUUGUCUUCGCUUAGAUUUCUGCCUCUAGUUUUAGAAUUACUUUGUUUAUGUGUGUCAGCAGUACUUUUUCAGUCAACCAUCUGUUUCAUUCCUAGGGACAUUGUACUAACAAUACAAGUGAUGCAUCUCUGGGAUGUCUUUUAGGCAGAAUAAAGUUAAUGCUUCAGAAACAUCCUCCAAAAUAAAAGAAUGGCUCUUUAUUUUGUUAAUAAGAAAAUUUGUUCAAAGCAACAAUGGGUUUCUGCCUUCCUUAUUCCAUCUUCUACAAAUAAGUGUCACCUGUUAGGAAUUCCCUCAAUGGUUAUAAAACAGUGCUGAAUGUGAUAGUAUAAUCUUUAGGCAUGAACUGAUGUGUGAUGCUUUCUCUUGUUUUGCUUUUCUUUGUGGUUGAUUUUUCUUACACCAUUCCUCUAACAGCAUCCACUACUGCUUGUCCCAAUGCUCUAUUUGUUUUAAUUUUAUAAAGUGGAGCCAAUAGUGUUUAAAAAGUCUGUCUCCAUCUUAACAAAAGUUAAGAAGCCCCUGAGCCCCUUCUCAGCUCCAGGGACUUGGUAUGAUCCUAGGAGGUCAACAGGCUGAAAAAGGGUACUUCUAUCCACAGAAUGACUCAGACCUAGCAGUGGCUGUGGGGUAGGGUGCAGUCCUGGCCUUGUAUCCUCAGCAUCACUCUACUCCUGGGGCAAGGCUGUGAAGGUGCCCAUCUCCUUACACUUUCAGUAGCCUUCUUGUCUUUAGGGUCCCCAACACACAGCUAGAUGGACUUGUGUAGCUUAGGAAGACUGCCUGCACUUCUGUUCAAUCUGUACUUCCAGACCCACUUGCUGUGGUGUGACAACAUACUUGCUAAGCUUGUGGAGCAAUGGUCUUCACAACUGCAUUGAAUUGAGCCUUACAUAGCAGCUGGUCCUAAAGGCGACAGAUGGUAAUUCUGGUCUGGCCUUCGUAGUGAUGCUCAGAACAGGGGUGGGAUUUCCUGUACCUCCUCUGCCAGGAGAGCUUCCCAGGCUCCCUUCUGUUGCACUGGGUCCAGGAGAUCAGCCAACUACAGGAGUGGUGGUGGGACUGAGGUUCUCAAUAAGAGGGAUGCUCCCCAGUAACCUUUGUGUGCAUAGCAGAGGUCAGUAGGAUGGUGCUUCAGUACAUGGUGUGUUGACCUUUCACUUAUUAUUAUGGUCCUUGUGGAGAGUGGGUUUGAGAUGACAGUGACUUGAAAAGUGGUUUCCUUUUUGUUGAUGUUGUGGAUGCCCAAGGUUACAGUUAUUAUGUUGUAAAGAAGGUGGACAGGGUUAGUCAGAAUAGCUACAAGUCAGUCUCUAAAGGCAGGCUCAAGUUUCAGCAAGGUAGACCAGAUGCUGAGUCAAAUUGGGAGGAGGGGAUGAGCAAUUGUGUCCUGCCUUGGUCUGAAUGUGCAUAUUCCUGUCCUUUGCUGUGCACAGGUGAACUAGGCCUGGGUCAACAGCAGUUCACCCUGUUACCCAGCCCUUCUCCUAUACACUCAAAUCCUCUAUUUUGGAUGAGCUUGGAGAGUCUCUUGUGUGUCCUUAUUAGCCUUUUACCAUACAUUCAUAGGGGCCUUCCUGAACUCUGGUCUCUUGGCCAGUGAUGGAAAUUCCCAGGAAGACCAAAAACCCUGCUGUUCAUCCCCUUAAUGACAAUAAGCCACAGUCAUCAUGGUGUUAUCUCGCACCAUGAAAACCCCACAGUAUCUCAGGCCUAUUUGACAUUGUAGGAACUUAACGGCUGCCAUGUAGAGCCAGGAGUCUGACCUCUCUGCCCCAUUUGAUCUCUCCUGAAAGAGAAAGGUUGCUCUGCAUCUCUGUGUUCAUAACACAGAGGACAGGCCUGGGGGCAGGACGCAGGAUGUUUAAUGCUGGGAGAGUCUGACUUGGACAUGGAUGGUGAAGAGUACCUUUUGUAGAGAUUGCUACACUUGGAGAUGAGGAUCAUGGGUUCUGUAGGUAGCAUGAUGGCCUUGCAUCAUAACCAAACCUUCUCCCUAUCAAUGUUUUUGUAAACAUGAGGAGUUCAGUGCUAUUCUUUAUCAAACAAGCUUCACAUAUAUGUUAAGCAGAAAAGGAUCUGUGUUCUGUGUAACACUCUUCAGAAGACCUGGAAAAUACUCUCUCUAACCCACCAUGAUUGCCUCUUUGUCCAAAAUAUUUGAGAUCCCAGGAUCCUGCUUGCUUCCAGAUGGGGUUGCUUUCUAAGACCAAACAUGAGGAGCUUUUGGGGAAGACAACUUUGCCUUCUUUCUCCCCUAUUCUGAAUUAGGCACAUAGUAAAUAUCCCACAGCAGCUUUUUGGAUACACAACGAAUAGUCCCCAAAUAGUCUGUCUGGCUUGCUUCUGGGUAUAAGAGUUCCUAACAGAAUCUGAACACCUUCCCCCUUACCCCCUGAUGUAUUGUCCUAAAACUCUGAGCUUUCAGGAUAAGGAGGGAAAGAGACUAGAAGAUUAGAAAUCAGAGUGAGAUGAGGAAAUGGGCCAGAGAGACCUGGUGGGAGCCUGUUUCCAUCAGGGCUGCAGAGAAGGGAUGAGGCUAUGAUCACUCUUGGUAUAAUGCCACCUAAAUCUUAUAGCCACUCAUGGAUGGUUUGGCUGAUUUUAUGUACAGUUGAGAGUUUUAUCAUCUUUUUUUGUGUUAGAGAAGUUUCCCUGAGCUGUCACAGUCUAUCCUGAGCUACCUAUGAUCUCUUGAGGUUCCCCCAUCCCCUGGCCCUGCACCCUGAAUACUCACUCUCUUCCUCUUAGUCUCCUCCUUUCCCAGAUCCUUACCUGCACUCUCUCUCAUGACCUCUAUUUACUUUCUCUGCUUCUGUACGCUGGCAGAGUGCAUUCUGCGACCAGAGUUGUCUGCCUUAGCUGUGGAAUUGCAAGUUUUUCUUGUGUGUUUUAUUCUAACGAAUCCACAACUGCUUUCAGCCCCUAAAUGAAAUGAGAAGGGCACUGGAUGCAAAGAUGUCUCUAGUUGGAAAGGUUUGCCCAGGACUGUCAUGGUGUUCGCAUUGAAUGCUCUGCUUCUAGGAACUCUGCAAGGAAGCACAAACUCCCAGCUUUAUUGGUUGGUGUGAAGAUUGAAGGAAAGUAUAAAAAAGUCUGUAGCUGCCCAGUUGGAAGCACAGUGCUUGAUGUCAGUAUUUAUGCAUAGAUGAUCACCUUCCAUAUUCACUGUGGCUAUUUUUGCCCUGAAAACAAAUCAUAGUGGCUGUGAUUUGUGGCAUUGAUGUGUGUGCUGAGACUGGGCAACACAGAUACUUUUACAUUUUAUUUAUUUAGUAGGUGGGGGGAGAGGAUUCUCCCAUUAAGUAACUCAAUUGCCAAAUGUCCACAAUAGCUCUGGUUGCACCAAGGGUGAAGCUGGGAGCUGGAGAUUCAAUCCAAGUCUCUCAUAUGAUGGAACUCAACUGCUUGAGCCUUCAUCUGCUGCCUCCCAGGCUCUGCAUUAAUAGGAAGCUGGAAUCAAAAACUGGAGCUGAAUAUCAAACCCAGGUACUCCAGUGAGUGAUGUAGGCUUCCAACUGGUAACUUAGUCACAAGGCCAAAUGGCUACCCUCAUAGAUACUUUUUUAAAAAAGAUUUAUUUUUAUUUAUUUGAAAGACAGAGUUACAGAGAGAGGUAGCGACACAGAGAGAAAGGUCUGGUCUUCCAACCGUUGGUUCACUCCCCAGAUGGCUACAAUGGCUGGAGCUGUGCCGAUCUGAAGCUAGGAGCCAGGAGCUUCUUCCAGGUCUCCCACAUGGGUGCAGGGGCCCAAGGACUCAAGCCAUCCACUGAUGAUUUCCCAGGUGCAUUAGGAGGGAGAUGGAUUAGAAGUGGAACAAUCAGGACUCGAACCGACGCCCAUAUGGGAUGCCAGCGCUGUAAGCCAGGGGGCUUUAACCCACUCUGCCACUGCGCCGGCCCCACAAAUACUUUUUAAUUGUAUAUAUUAUAGACUGUUUUGAACUUGUUUGUGGAUUAACGUUUCUGCUUUGUGUUGAGAUAGUGCUUAAUUUUAUCAUUAUGAAAUUGGUGACCAUAUUAAGAGCUAAGAAGAUGACAAUGAUAAUGACAAAAAUGCCAAUACCAGCACAAGUCAGACAUCACUCAAAAGAAGACCAGAAGACUGUGUUAUGUCAAUGAGAGAUGCAAGCACAACUUGGAUUGGGAAGUCAAUAAUGAAACAAGAGCAAACCAUACAACAUGUAGACAAGUGUACCACAUAGACACACAGCACCCCCGUACAGUUCUCUGAGCUGAGCAGUUUCAUUUCCUCAAGUAGACACUGUGAUAAAAAUGUUCUGUGGGUGAACAAGAUGGUAGAUUUUGAAGACAGAUGUGUUGACAACUUUCAGUGGACAUAAUCCAAUUAGAUGUCACAAAAAACCAUGCUCUCUACAGCAUGUCAAGUCAUGCAUCGAUUUGGCAUUUAAAAUGUGCCCUGAAUAGCACUUUGGAAUAUGCAAUGAAAAUUUGAGUUUGAAAUUCAAUGGAAAUUUUAAUAAACUAUGGAAAAGAUAAAAAUAGAUCAAAUACCCCAAAUGUAAUAUUGCUUUGGCCACAUGUCUAUAUAUUCCACAGAAGAUGCAAAUGUAAAUUUUGGCAAGCUCCACCCAGUCCAUGAACUUCUUACCACAGAACAUAAUGAUAACAUGUAUGUGCCCUGCACACUUCGUCCACAGCACUGCUACAGCGUGGAUUGAUGUGUUUACUUGUGAUUUUGAAGCUUUCCCAUGAAAAAUGACCACUUUUCUCUCUUUCUUUAAGUUUUUAAGCUUUUUAUUUAGUGAAAGAAAUGCAUAGGAGAGUGAGGGACCUACCUAAAAGAGAGAGGGAGAUCUGAAUCCAUACCGGGCAUUAGGAGCCAUCCAUGUGGAGAGCAUGCAGACCAGAAAACACAGAGUGGGUGGCCCGAAGGCUGGGAAGGCCACAUGCCCCGAAGGCACGGGGACGAAGGGGCAGGCCCACUGUGUUCCAGGCCUUUAAUCCACUUCCAAAGUGGAGUGGUUAAUUACUCUGAUUGGCAGGUAGGCACACAGGUGCCCACUUCUCUUAGAAUGUGAAGGGAACCUAAUGAGGCUUCUGACUUUAAAGGAAUGAGAUGAGCCUGCCAAAUGCUUUCGUCAAGGGAGAGAAUAGAGAAAGGGAAAUACCGAGAGAGUGAUUGCUGUUCCUUCUAACUCUCUGAUGAUCUGGAAGAGUCAACAAAACCUGCAAGAGGAUGAACUGACUGCAUCUGCGCUUAGUACUGUAGGCAGGUUGGCAAAGGCCCAUGCCGGGACAAAGUCUGCCUGUGGUCUAAAAAAUGUGUCACCAGGAGAGGGCAGCCGUGAGAAACAAGCCUUUCUUAUUUGUUCUGUAAACUGUAGUUUAUUCAGGAUACAGUUUAAAUUCUUCCUCUGCUUUACGGCCACUGUUUUCACAUACAGUAAAAUUCCAUGUGCUUUGGAGUGUUUGAAGAUACAGAACCUGUAGAGUGAAUCUGCAGAUGCCCAGAACCUGACUGACAAGCAACUGGUCUACCAGGGUAGUCUGCAGACACAAGGUAGAUGGGCAGUGCUGGAGAGCUGUGAUCUGCAAGUGAAAAACCAGCUGUAAUUAGCAAGUAAAAGCCUAAGCAUUGCAUGUUCUGACCCUUUAGUUGAGAGGAUAUCCUGUGAUGGUGGGAUUGCCUGUAACAGGGCUUGGUAAGAGCAUUGCUGCAAGUCAAAGUGAAUCUGACUCUUAACUGUGUUCAGUUUUCUCACUACCUUUGAGGAAAAAAUUUGUCUAGGCAUGUAUUUUAGCAUUGAAUUAUUGAACAAGGAAAUGGAAAAGCAAAACUUUUCUAGUGUAUCACGAGA